UUGCUCUGUAGAACAGGCUGGCCUCA
Molecule: non-coding RNA, 26 nt
Filed under: Mus musculus (house mouse)
Lineage: Eukaryota; Metazoa; Chordata; Mammalia; Rodentia; Muridae
Source: RNAcentral